RNAcentral lists this ribosomal RNA (253 nucleotides) under uncultured bacterium. RNAcentral's name for it is "partial 16S ribosomal RNA". It matches the Rfam family "Bacterial small subunit ribosomal RNA", at positions 524 to 776 of the family's 1533-position model. The record is from RNAcentral.
UACGAAGGGAGCUAGCGUUGUUCGGAAUCACUGGGCGUAAAGCGCACGUAGGCGGAUUUGUCAGUCAGGGGUGAAAUCCCGGGGCUCAACCUCGGAACUGCCUUUGAUACUGGCUGUCUUGAGUUCGGGAGAGGUGAGUGGAAUGCCGAGUGUAGAGGUGAAAUUCGUAGAUAUUCGGCGGAACACCAGUGGCGAAGGCGGCUCACUGGCCCGGUACUGACGCUGAGGCGCGAAAGCGUGGGGAGCAAACAGG